This 801-nucleotide ribosomal RNA is filed under the name Pseudomonas gessardii. Its description in RNAcentral is "bacterial SSU rRNA". It matches the Rfam family "Bacterial small subunit ribosomal RNA", at positions 93 to 873 of the family's 1533-position model. Lineage: Bacteria; Pseudomonadati; Pseudomonadota; Gammaproteobacteria; Pseudomonadales; Pseudomonadaceae. The record is from RNAcentral.
GAGCGGCGGACGGGUGAGUAAUGCCUAGGAAUCUGCCUGGUAGUGGGGGAUAACGUUCGGAAACGGACGCUAAUACCGCAUACGUCCUACGGGAGAAAGCAGGGGACCUUCGGGCCUUGCGCUAUCAGAUGAGCCUAGGUCGGAUUAGCUAGUUGGUGAGGUAAUGGCUCACCAAGGCGACGAUCCGUAACUGGUCUGAGAGGAUGAUCAGUCACACUGGAACUGAGACACGGUCCAGACUCCUACGGGAGGCAGCAGUGGGGAAUAUUGGACAAUGGGCGAAAGCCUGAUCCAGCCAUGCCGCGUGUGUGAAGAAGGUCUUCGGAUUGUAAAGCACUUUAAGUUGGGAGGAAGGGUUGUAGAUUAAUACUCUGCAAUUUUGACGUUACCGACAGAAUAAGCACCGGCUAACUCUGUGCCAGCAGCCGCGGUAAUACAGAGGGUGCAAGCGUUAAUCGGAAUUACUGGGCGUAAAGCGCGCGUAGGUGGUUCGUUAAGUUGGAUGUGAAAGCCCCGGGCUCAACCUGGGAACUGCAUUCAAAACUGACGAGCUAGAGUAUGGUAGAGGGUGGUGGAAUUUCCUGUGUAGCGGUGAAAUGCGUAGAUAUAGGAAGGAACACCAGUGGCGAAGGCGACCACCUGGACUGAUACUGACACUGAGGUGCGAAAGCGUGGGGAGCAAACAGGAUUAGAUACCCUGGUAGUCCACGCCGUAAACGAUGUCAACUAGCCGUUGGAAUCCUUGAGAUUUUAGUGGCGCAGCUAACGCAUUAAGCGACCGCCGGGACGCGCAGAUAACAA